UACGUAGGUGACAAGCGUUGUCCGGAUUUACUGGGCGUAAAGAGCGCGCAGGCGGUCGUUCAAGUUGAGUGUGAAAGCCCCCGGCUCAACUGGGGAGGGUCAUUCGAUACUGAUCGACUCGAAGGCAGGAGAGGGAAGUGGAAUUCCCGGUGUAGUGGUGAAAUGCGUAGAUAUCGGGAGGAACACCAGUGGCGAAGGCGACUACCUGGCCUGUUCUUGACGCUGAGGCGCGAAAGCUAGGGGAGCAAACGGG
This 253-nucleotide ribosomal RNA is filed under the name uncultured bacterium. RNAcentral describes it as "partial 16S ribosomal RNA". It matches the Rfam family "Bacterial small subunit ribosomal RNA", at positions 524 to 776 of the family's 1533-position model. The record is from RNAcentral.